AUGGAGUCAAAAGCAGAUCUGUUAAUCUUUCAUCAUCCUCAUCUGCGACUCACGAAAUCCUCUCACCAAUCUGAUUUUGAGGAGUUCUGCCGCUCGAAGAAAUCCUUUCACCGAUUUGAUUCUGGUGACACCGACCUUCAUUUCCUUUAAGUUCUAGUUUCAUUGUUAACGGUUCAGAUUCAUGAUACUGUGUCGAAUUGCUAGGGUUACGAAAGCUAGAGGUUGUGAUUUUGUUUUGUUUUGUUUGUGUUUGAUUAACUGAUUGACUCUGUUUUUCUUCGUGUUUAAUUGUGUUUUGGAAAGUGAAAUUAGGAUUACUGAUCUGAUUUUAAUUUUAGGUUUUACAGAAAUUAGAGCUCCUGAUCAUGUGUUUCUUCAUGCAUGUUCGUAUUCAGUUGUGUUUAGGAAAGAAAUUAGGAUUAGUCAACUAUUAGAUUCACCGAUCGAAUUACAAUAUGAGGUUUUAUAGAGUUCAUGACUAUGUUUUAUAUUUUAUAUGUUCGUAUUCAGUUGUUAUGAACAAUGCUGCAUCUUGAUAAUUCUGCGAUUUUAGAACCAAUUUAGUUUGGAAUCUUGUUGUUAUGAAUGAUGCUGCAUCUUGAUAUGAUGAAUUUUGUAUUGAUUAGGUUAAUUUUGUUUUUUAUUGCAAGUUUUUGGUGAGAUUAGGGUUUGAGAUCUACGAUUUAGGUUAUGAGAUAUGGAGAGGGUUUGAGAGAAAAUGAGCAUAGUAGUAAACAACUUUGUGAUCAGAUGGGUAAUCUUCUUACUAUGGUAUGUUUUUCAGUGAUUUUGUUAAUGGGAAUAGGACGUUUUGUUAUGCAUGAUUGCAUGCACUCUAGAUGUUUGUUGAAAUGGCAGUGCUGAAUUUUUUAGUUUGUUGGGGUUCUUUUGGUUCAAGUUCUUGAUUAUUGAAGCUUGAUUGUUUAUGAUAUUCUAACUGCCCUUUAACACACCUUGGUGUUCACUAGACAGUAGCCAAUUGUGGCAUAAUUUUCAAGAAUUAGCAGUUGAAGCAAGUUAUAAAGUUUAUGCUUAUAAAAUAGUUAUCAGCAUAGUUAUCAAAAGCGCGAAGCGCACUCUAGGCGCAUAGGCACCGAUUUGGGCCUAGGCGCCAAAAGCGCCUACAUCAUUUUGUUACGGCGAAAGAUUCUUUUGUCUAGGAAGAAAUUUAUUGAUGUCGCGUUUGAUAGCUACAAAAUGAUGUACCAUAGUUUUUAAUGUGUAGUUUGUAGCUGUGGGUGUGAUCGGUUUUGGCGUGUGGAUUAGCACUCAUCAUGAUGGUUGUAUAAAAUCG
RNAcentral lists this long non-coding RNA (1294 nucleotides) under Helianthus annuus (common sunflower). Lineage: Eukaryota; Viridiplantae; Streptophyta; Magnoliopsida; Asterales; Asteraceae. The record is from RNAcentral.